AGAGGUUUCCAGAGCCCAAGGACAAUGCCCACUCCUUGUAGAAUAUAAAAAGUGGGGAGAGAAUCCACCAAACCUUUUUUUUUUUUAAAGAUUUUAUUUUUUCCUUUUUCUCCCCAAAGCCCCCCAGUAUACAGUUGUAUAUCCUUCGUUGUGGGUCCUUCUAGUUGUGGCAUGUGGGACGCUGCCUCAGCGUGGUUUGAUGAGCAGUGCCACGUCGGCGCCCAGGAUUCGAACCAACGAAACACUGGGCCGCCUGCAACGGAGCGCGCGAACUUCACCACUCGGCCACGGGGCCAGCCCCCAUCCACCAAACCUUUUGAUUUCACAGAGAUAGAUGUUUACUUACAAUGGAAGACAACAAAAGCCAGAAUGGCAACAGACUUAGGAAAUGCCACGUUCUCUCGAGGAGCCAGGCCGGCCUCUGGAGGAUGCCUGACGGGGCCCUGUGAGGAAGAACUGGUUGAUGGGCAGCAUCGCACGUGACAAAGAGAACCCCGAAGAGAUCCCCUGCUUUCCUUUGGGGAGAUGAAAGAGAGCCAGGGAACCCGAGACUUCUCC
This 558-nucleotide long non-coding RNA is filed under the name Equus caballus (horse). RNAcentral describes it as "lncRNA (ENSECAG00000030115.3)". Lineage: Eukaryota; Metazoa; Chordata; Mammalia; Perissodactyla; Equidae. The record is from RNAcentral.